RNAcentral lists this ribosomal RNA (598 nucleotides) under uncultured bacterium. RNAcentral describes it as "bacterial SSU rRNA". It matches the Rfam family "Bacterial small subunit ribosomal RNA", at positions 55 to 646 of the family's 1533-position model. The record is from RNAcentral.
AUGCAAGUCGAGGGGUAACAGAGAAAAGCUUGCUUUUUUGCUGACGACCGGCGCACGGGUGCGUAACGCGUAUGCAAUCUACCUUUUGCUAAGGGAUAGCCCAGAGAAAUUUGGAUUAAUACCUUAUAGUAUGAUGACUUGGCAUCAAGAUAUCAUUAAAGGUUACGGCAAAAGAUGAGCAUGCGUUCUAUUAGCUAGUUGGUAUGGUAACGGCAUACCAAGGCAACGAUAGAUAGGGGUCCUGAGAGGGAGAUCCCCCACACUGGUACUGAGACACGGACCAGACUCCUACGGGAGGCAGCAGUGAGGAAUAUUGGACAAUGGAGGCAACUCUGAUCCAGCCAUGCCGCGUGCAGGAAGACUGCCCUAUGGGUUGUAAACUGCUUUUAUACAGGAAGAAACACCUCUACGUGUAGAGAUUUGACGGUACUGUAAGAAUAAGGAUCGGCUAACUCCGUGCCAGCAGCCGCGGUAAUACGGAGGAUCCAAGCGUUAUCCGGAAUCAUUGGGUUUAAAGGGUCCGUAGGUGGAUAAUUAAGUCAGAGGUGAAAUCCUGCAGCUUAACUGUAGAAUGGCCUUUGAUACUGGUUGUCCUGAG